CUACGGGUUGCAGCAGUGAGGAAUAUUGCACAAUGGGGGGAACCCUGAUGCAGCAACGCCGCGUGGAGGAUGACGCAUUUCGGUGUGUAAACUCCUUUUAUAUGUCAAGAAAAUGACGGUAGUAUAUGAAUAAGCACCGGCUAACUCCGUGCCAGCAGCCGCGGUAAUACGGAGGGUGCAAGCGUUACUCGGAAUCACUGGGCGUAAAGGACGCGUAGGCGGGUUGGAAAGUCAGGUGUGAAAUCCUACAGCUUAACUGUAGAACUGCACUUGAAACUUCUAAUCUAGAGUAUGGGAGGGGGAGAUGGAAUUAGUGGUGUAGGGGUAAAAUCCGUAGAUAUCACUAGGAAUACCUAAAGCGAAGGCGAUCUCCUAGAACAUUACUGACGCUAAGGCGUGAAAGCGUGGGGAGCAAACAGGAUUAGAUACCCCCGUAGUC
RNAcentral lists this ribosomal RNA (439 nucleotides) under uncultured bacterium. Its description in RNAcentral is "partial 16S ribosomal RNA". It matches the Rfam family "Bacterial small subunit ribosomal RNA", at positions 339 to 795 of the family's 1533-position model. The record is from RNAcentral.